RNAcentral lists this ribosomal RNA (492 nucleotides) under uncultured bacterium. RNAcentral's name for it is "partial 16S ribosomal RNA". It matches the Rfam family "Bacterial small subunit ribosomal RNA", at positions 29 to 507 of the family's 1533-position model. The record is from RNAcentral.
AGUGAACGCUGGCGGUAGGCCUAACACAUGCAAGUCGAACGGCAGCACAGUAAGAGCUUGCUCUUACGGGUGGCGAGUGGCGGACGGGUGAGGAAUACAUCGGAAUCUACUUUUUCGUGGGGGAUAACGUAGGGAAACUUACGCUAAUACCGCAUACGACCUACGGGUGAAAGCAGGGGAUCUUCGGACCUUGCGCGAUUGAAUGAGCCGAUGUCGGAUUAGCUAGUUGGCGGGGUAAAGGCACACCAAGGCGACGAUCCGUAGCUGGUCUGAGAGGAUGAUCAGCCACACUGGAACUGAGACACGGUCCAGACUCCUACGGGAGGCAGCAGUGGGGAAUAUUGGACAAUGGGCGCAAGCCUGAUCCAGCCAUACCGCGUGGGUGAAGAAGGACUUCGGGUUGUAAAGCCCUUUUGUUGGGAAAGAAAAGCAGCAGGUUAAUACCCCGCUGUUCUGACGGUACCCAAAGAAUAAGCACCGGCUAACUUCGUG